GAUGUUAUUGCGGGUGUAGCGAAAUGCUUAUUGGUUUUAGUGACAGGCGGGUUUUAGUAACAGGCUAGCUCUGUUUUAUUUUUUACAGAAAAGUAGUUUGAUUUCUUUUUUUUCUUUUUUUGUAGUUUGUUCAGUUUUUUGGGAAUCCUGUUUCCAUCCUGCACAGUGGGUGGCGGGAUGCACAUAAAAUUCUGCGAAUGCCAAUACUGUUGAGUACCACAGUAUGAGUCAUAAUACCAAAAAAACCUAGAGGUAAAACCAGUAAAUGGUUCCAAUUGUAAUUCGACCAUUCAUUUUUCCAUAGGGGAUUUUAGAACUGCUUCAUAUAAGCUAACUAGCUUCUCCGUUGAUCAGAAGCAAGGAUGGUUCUGUGCUAUGUACCGGAUUUGUCCAUCACUACUCCGAAAAGCACACGUGCAUUUUAUCAUUUUCCGACAUCGGUAAGCGUGAGGCAUCGCUGGAGCUGUGUGAUAAGGCCGAACCCACUGUUCCUAGGCCGUCAUGGUGUCAGUGUGAACCGAGCACAAGCAUCCAGUUGUGGAGACUACAGUACAUCAAGCCUGUGGACAGACAGAUAUGAGACGUGACAUGCGGUACAUCAGGCUCACCCCAUGAGAAGCAGUGCAUGAUCAACGCCACCCUCUAUCUCUCCAUUAAAUUCAAAGAGCUUUAUUGGUGUCAAUAAAGGCUCCGGCCUUGGAGCUGGACUGGAUGCCGUGCCUUGGAGCUGGACUGGAUGCCGCCUUCCCCUGCGCCGAUGCCCAGUCCAAGCACGGCAUCCAGUCCAGCUCCAAGGCCGGAGCCUUCCUCUGCGACGGU
This is a non-coding RNA of Salmo salar (Atlantic salmon), 819 nucleotides long. NCBI's taxonomy places the organism in Eukaryota, Metazoa, Chordata, Actinopteri, Salmoniformes, Salmonidae. The record is from RefSeq and is a predicted model, not a curated record.